Molecule: ribosomal RNA, 1362 nt
Filed under: Megophrys ancrae
Lineage: Eukaryota; Metazoa; Chordata; Amphibia; Anura; Megophryidae
Description: partial 16S ribosomal RNA
Rfam family: Bacterial large subunit ribosomal RNA
Source: RNAcentral
GACGCCCUAAAUCCAGCCCUAAUUCCCUAUCACCAACCUCAUUCUUCACCUUUAAAAUAAAUCAUUCUCAACCUAAAGUAAAUGCGAUUGAAAAAGAACUCGGAGCUUUAUAAACAGUACCGCAAGGGAAAGAUGAAAUAGAAAUUAAAUAAACUUUCAAGCAAUAAAUAGUAGAGACUUCAACUUGUACCUUUUGCAUCAUGGUUUAACUAGUCCAACCAGGCAAAGAGAUCUUUAGUCUGAUACCCCGAAACUAAGUGAGCUACUCCAAGGUAACCCUAGAGUUAACCCGUCUCUGUGGCAAAAGAGUGGGACAACCUUCGAGUAGGAGUGAUAUACCUAUCGAACUUAGUGAUAGCUGGUUACUCAAGAAACGAAUUUUAGUUCCUCCUUAAGAGGACCCAGCUCAAACUUUCUGUUAAGCAAAUUUUACCUCUUAAGACCCAUUCAAUAAGGGUACAGCCUUAUUGAAAAAGGAUACAACCUAGAACUCAGGUUUACGUUAUUAUAGACCUGCACAAGUUGGCUUAAGAGCAGCCACCUUUAAAAUAGCGUCAAAGCUUUCUCUACCGUCUUCUCUAAUUCCUUAACCCUUACGGAACCCGAUACCAAUAUUGAGUCCUUCUAUACCCCUAUAGAAGUGUUUAUGUUAAAACUAGUAACACAGAAUUACUUCUCUCUAUGUGAGUGUAAAUCAGACCGAAUAAGUCACUGAUAAUUAGUCAGUAAUGAAACUAUUGUAGCAACCCCGCUAGAAAACCCUACAACCUUAUACUGUUAACCUAACACAAGAACAUCAGAGAAAGAUUAAAAGAUAAGGAAGGAACUCGGCAAAUUUAAGUCCCGCCUGUUUACCAAAAACAUCGCCUUUUGUAAUCUAUAUAAGGUAAUGCCUGCCCAGUGACCAUGUGUUCAACGGCCGCGGUAUUCUGACCGCGCGAAGGUAGCGUAAUCACUUGUCUUUUAAAUAAAGACUAGUAUGAACGGCUACACGAGGACUUGACUGUCUCCCUUAUCCAAUCAGUGAAACUAAUCUCCUCGUGCAGAAGCUAGGAUGAACCCAUUAGACGAGAAGACCCUAUGGAGCUUUAAACUUAAUAUUAAUUUUACUUCUACUAACAUUAACAAAUAAACUAUUAACUUAAUAUGAGUUUUAGGUUGGGGCGACCAUGGAGAAAAAAAUAUCCUCCCUGAUGACUUCUAAUCAAGAGCCACAGCUCUAAGUACUAAGAUACUUAACUUCCAUUGACCCAUUUUAUGAUCAACGAACCAAGUUACCCUAGGGAUAACAGCGCAAUCCAUUUCAAGAGUCCCUAUCGACAAAUGGGUUUACGACCUCGAUGUUGGAUCAGGGUAUCCCAG